UCAGAAAAAGCCAAACCCAGCGAGAGCUGGGGACGGAAAGCCACGGGUCUCGCCAAGGAUCAGGAGACAGCCGGGUUGCCUGAA
RNAcentral lists this non-coding RNA (84 nucleotides) under Desulfobacca sp. RNAcentral describes it as "c-di-GMP sequence". It matches the Rfam family "c-di-GMP-I-GGC riboswitch aptamer". The record is from RNAcentral. Lineage: Bacteria; Pseudomonadati; Thermodesulfobacteriota; Desulfobaccia; Desulfobaccales; Desulfobaccaceae.